AUUGAACGCUGGCGGCAUGCUUUACACAUGCAAGUCGAACGGUAACAGGCCGCAAGGUGCUGACGAGUGGCGAACGGGUGAGUAAUGCAUAGGAACGUGCCCAGUCGUGGGGGAUAACUAUCCGAAAGGAUAGCUAAUACCGCAUACGAUCUGCGGAUGAAAGCGGGGGACCUUCGGGCCUCGCGCGAUUGGAGCGGCCGAUGUCAGAUUAGGUAGUUGGUGGGGUAAAGGCUCACCAAGCCAACGAUCUGUAGCUGGUCUGAGAGGACGACCAGCCACACUGGGACUGAGACACGGCCCAGACUCCUGCGGGAGGCAGAAGUGGGGAAUUUUGGACAAUGGGCGCAAGCCUGAUCCAGCAAUGCCGCGUGCAGGAAGAAGGCCUUCGGGUUGUAAACUGCUUUUGUACGGAACGAAACGGCUCUGGUUAAUACCUGGGGCUAAUGACGGUACCGUAAGAAUAAGCACCGGCUAACUACGUGCCAGCCGCCGCCGUAA
RNAcentral lists this ribosomal RNA (498 nucleotides) under uncultured bacterium. RNAcentral's name for it is "partial 16S ribosomal RNA". It matches the Rfam family "Bacterial small subunit ribosomal RNA", at positions 30 to 523 of the family's 1533-position model. The record is from RNAcentral.